AGUGAACGCUGGCGGUAGGCCUAACACAUGCAAGUCGAACGAGUGGCGGACGGGUGAGGAAUACAUCGGAAUCUACUCUGUCGUGGGGGAUAACGUAGGGAAACCUACGCUAAUACCGCAUACGAUUGAAUGAGCCGAUGUCGGAUUAGCUAGUUGGGGGGGUAAAGGCCCACAAAGGCGACGAUCCGUAGCUGGUCUGAGAGGAUGAUAAGCAACAAUGGAACUGGGACACGGUCCAUACUCCGACGGGAGGCAGCAGUGGGGAGUAUUGUACAAUGGGCGCAAGCCUGAUCCAGCCAUACCGCGUGGGUGAAGAGGGCCUUCGGGUUGUAAAGCCCUUUUGUGGGGAAAGCGGUACCCAAAGAAUAAGCACCGGCUAACUUCGUGCCAGCAGCCGCGGUAAUUC
RNAcentral lists this ribosomal RNA (406 nucleotides) under uncultured bacterium. RNAcentral describes it as "partial 16S ribosomal RNA". It matches the Rfam family "Bacterial small subunit ribosomal RNA", at positions 29 to 526 of the family's 1533-position model. The record is from RNAcentral.